Molecule: ribosomal RNA, 373 nt
Filed under: uncultured bacterium
Lineage: Bacteria
Description: bacterial SSU rRNA
Rfam family: Bacterial small subunit ribosomal RNA
Source: RNAcentral
AUUGAACGCUGGCGGCAUGCCUUACACAUGCAAGUCGAACGGCAGCACGGGAGCAAUCCUGGUGGCGAGUGGCGAACGGGUGAGUAAUAUAUCGGAACGUGCCCGGUCGUGGGGGAUAACGUAGCGAAAGCUACGCUAAUACCGCAUACGAUCUACGGAUGAAAGCGGGGGAUCGCAAGACCUCGCGCGAUUGGAGCGGCCGAUAUCAGAUUAGGUAGUUGGUGAGGUAAAGGCUCACCAAGCCGACGAUCUGUAGCUGGUCUGAGAGGACGACCAGCCACACUGGGACUGAGACACGGCCCAGACUCCUACGGGAGGCAGCAGUGGGGAAUUUUGGACAAUGGGCGCAAGCCUGAUCCAGCAAUGCCGCGUG